RNAcentral lists this long non-coding RNA (330 nucleotides) under Manihot esculenta (cassava). Its description in RNAcentral is "long non-coding RNA (MESC_LNC005303)". Lineage: Eukaryota; Viridiplantae; Streptophyta; Magnoliopsida; Malpighiales; Euphorbiaceae. The record is from RNAcentral.
UCCAAGUCUGCAAGACCCUGAAGCACUGGACAGCAAGCGUCCUUAGCGCUACUGCCAAUAACAAUAUGCACUAGACCACCUAGGAUGUCAACACAUGCUCCUAGCUUGAGAGUGUCAAUGGGGCAAGUCUCUGGCUUUGACGGUGGAGGUGGACAUGGAACCGGGGGUGGUGGAGGAGGAGGAGGACAUGGUGUUCCAGUUGGUGGUGAUGGAGUGACAGGUGGUUUUGGAUAGUGGGGUGGUGAUGGGGUCACCGGAGGCUUUGGUGGUGGGAAAGUGAUCGGUGGUUUAGGCACGUGGGGAGGUUUGGGGACGGCGGGAGGCCGUGGU